AUGACCAUCUCCAUCAUCAUUAUCAUCAUCAUCAUCACCAUCAUCACUAUCAUCACUACCACCAUCAUUACCAUCAUCAUCAUCAUUACCAUCUCCAUCAUCAUUAUCAUCAUCAUCAUCAUUACCAUCAUCAUCAUCAUUACCAUCUCCAUCAUCAUUAUCAUCAUCAGCACUACCACCAUCAUCAUUACCAUCUCCAUCAUCAUUAUCAUCAUCAGCACUACCACCAUCAUCAUUACCAUCACCAUCAUCACUACCACCAUCAAUACCAUCAUCAUCAUGACCAUCUCCAUCAUCAUUAUCAUCAUCAUCACCAUCAUCACUACCACCAUCAUUACCAUCUUCUUCAUCAUUAUCAUCAUCAGCACUACCACCAUCAUUACCAUCAUCAUUACCAACUCCAUCAUCAUUAUCACCAUUAUCAUCAUCAUUAUUAUCAUCAUUAUCAUUAUCACAUUAUCACCAUUAUUAUCAUCAUCAUUGUCACCAUUAUUAUCACUAUCACAAUUAUCACCAUUAUUAUCACUAUCACAAUUAUCACCAUUAUUAUCACUAUCACAAUUAUCACCACUAUUAUCAUCAUCAUCAUCAUCCUCAAUAUCAUCAUCACCAUUACUAUCAUUAUCACCAUCAAAAUCAUCACCAUUAUUAUCAUCAUCAUUACAUUAUCAUCACCACCAUUAUUGUCAUAAUCAUCACCAUUAUCAUCAUCACCAUCAUUACCAUCAUUAUCAUCAUCAUCAACACUACCACCAUCAUUAUCACCAUCUUCAUCAUUAUCACCAUCAUCAUCAUCAACACUACCACCAUCAUUAUCACCAUCUUCAUCAACACUACCACCAUCAUUAUCACCAUCUUCAUCAUUAUCACCAUCUUCAUCAUCAUCACUACCACCAUCAUUACCAUCAUCAUUUCCACAUUCCUGUGGCAACCUGCCACCCAAUUUUAUUUGCACCUUAUACACGUCCACCGAAGACAUUCCACGCAAGCACACACUUAGGGCCUUGGGAGUGA
RNAcentral lists this long non-coding RNA (1014 nucleotides) under Nothobranchius furzeri (turquoise killifish). RNAcentral's name for it is "lncRNA (ENSNFUG00015012183.1)". The record is from RNAcentral. Lineage: Eukaryota; Metazoa; Chordata; Actinopteri; Cyprinodontiformes; Nothobranchiidae.